CCAGCGAAGACAAACGAAGCUGAUGAAGGCUGGAGCGGUCCCUCGGAUCCUCCAGCGAAGGUGGAUGAAGGCUGGAGCGGUCCCACGGACCCUCCAGCAGACGACGAAGGCUGAGGCGGUCCCUCGGACCCCCCAGCGAAGGCAAACGAAGACUGAAGCGGUCCCACGGACCCUCCAGCGGAGGCAGAUGAAACUGAUGGAGGCUGGAGCGGUCCCCCUGACCCUCCAGCAGACGACGAAGGCUGGAGUGGUCCCACGGACCCUCCAGCGAAGGCGGACGAAGGCUGAAGCGGUCCUCGGACCCCACAGUGAUUGGACGAGCCCCCAUAUGUUACACCCCGGCCUAGGCAACCGGGGUGCAACGUAGAAAAACAAAGAUAAGGAAAAUAAAAAUAAGGAAAAUAAAAAUAAGGUAAAAAAAACACACGAGAAAAAACUAAUACGGGUUUCCACAAAAAUCAUCCCAAAACGACCACUAUUUUCUUUAAAGCAAAAUGAUAUUUAUUUACAACGCAAGGCGCCAAACUAUUUACAACGGGGGGGGAAAAAGAUCGCGACCAUGACAACUGACACACAGGGCUUAAAUACAUGGAGGGAACAAUCAGGGAAU
Astatotilapia calliptera (eastern happy) is the source of this 610-nucleotide long non-coding RNA. The record is from Ensembl. NCBI's taxonomy places the organism in Eukaryota, Metazoa, Chordata, Actinopteri, Cichliformes, Cichlidae.